AGACAGCUCAUUCUCGCGGACCCGAAAGACAAUAUCUCUAAGAUGAUCAUCCUGCAUCCAGUCAAGUUCUCCACCAUCCCCAACACCACUAAGUGACUCCAUCUCAGUGAGCAUAUCUAAAGGUUGAUCGACUCUAUCUUUUGCAGCCAUGUAGUUAUUUCUAAAUCCCGCUCUAAUUUGCUUCACUAUUGGCUCAACUUCAUGGAAGUUUUUCUCAAGCCAGUUUUCUGUCUUUCCAGACACCUUUGUUUCUGUACUAAUGUCAUUAACUUCAUCUAAAGUGGUACCUGAAUUAAGAUGGUUUCUUAUUCCAGGUUCAACACCAGCAACUUCUGUUUUGCCUAAUUCCUUAUUCUUCUGAUCAGAAACUUCAAUAGAAUUUAUGCCAGGCUUAGAAUCUGAUAAUCCAUUUAAAGCAUCACUCCUGAUUUGCUCAACUUUGAGGAGGUUCUUG
Molecule: long non-coding RNA, 454 nt
Filed under: Phaseolus vulgaris (common bean)
Lineage: Eukaryota; Viridiplantae; Streptophyta; Magnoliopsida; Fabales; Fabaceae
Description: long non-coding RNA (PVUL_LNC000878)
Source: RNAcentral